CUCAAAUCAGGUAGGACUACCCGCUGAACUUAAGCAU
RNAcentral lists this ribosomal RNA (37 nucleotides) under Papiliotrema laurentii. RNAcentral's name for it is "partial 28S ribosomal RNA". The record is from RNAcentral. RNAcentral also lists the same sequence under 1 other name. Lineage: Eukaryota; Fungi; Basidiomycota; Tremellomycetes; Tremellales; Rhynchogastremaceae.